GUGGGGAAUAUUGGGCAAUGGGCGAAAGCCUGACCCAGCAACGCCGCGUGAAGGAAGAAGGUCUUCGGAUCGUAAACUUCUAUCCUUGGUGAAGAUAAUGACGGUAGCCGAGAAGGAAGCCCCGGCUAACUACGUGCCAGCAGCCGCGGUAAUACGUAGGGGGCAAGCGUUGUCCGGAAUGAUUGGGCGUAAAGGGCGCGUAGGCGGCCUGGUAAGUCUGGAGUGAAAGUCCUGCUUUUAAGGUGGGAAUUGCUUUGGAUACUGUCGGGCUUGAGUGCAGGAGAGGUAAGUGGAAUUCCCGGUGUAGCGGUGAAAUGCGUAGAGAUCGGGAGGAACACCAGUGGCGAAGGCGACUUACUGGACUGUAACUGAUGCUGAGGCGCGAAAGUGUGGGGAGCAAACAGGAUUAGAUACCCCUGUAGUCC
Molecule: ribosomal RNA, 425 nt
Filed under: uncultured bacterium
Lineage: Bacteria
Description: partial 16S ribosomal RNA
Rfam family: Bacterial small subunit ribosomal RNA
Source: RNAcentral